This is an RNA transcript of Gopherus flavomarginatus (Mexican gopher tortoise), 4631 nucleotides long. It is a transcript of the gene named F-box and WD repeat domain containing 11, with no coding region annotated. The record is from RefSeq and is a predicted model, not a curated record. The transcript has 15 exons. Lineage: Eukaryota; Metazoa; Chordata; Testudines; Testudinidae.
GCGGUGCGGGGGUGGCGGCCCGAGAUUGGAGCCAGUGGGGUUUCGGUUACGCGCUGCGGGAGGCAGGCGGGGGGGGAGGGGACGAGGAGCCGCCCGCCGCUAUGGAGCCCGACUCCGUGAUCGAGGACAAGACUAUCGAGCUGAUGUGUUCUGUGCCAAGGUCUUUGUGGCUAGGCUGCUCCAACCUGGUAGAGAGCAUGUGCGCACUGAGAUGCCUGCAGAGCAUGCCCAGUGUCAGAUGUCUCCAGAACACAUCAGUAAUGGAGGAUCAGAAUGAAGAUGAAUCUCCAAAGAAAAAUACCCUAUGGCAGAUAAGUAAUGGAACUUCAUCCGUGAUAGUCUCAAGGAAGCGACCAUCGGAAGGAAACUACGAAAAGGAAAAAGACUUGUGUAUUAAAUAUUUUGACCAGUGGUCUGAAUCAGAUCAGGUUGAAUUUGUGGAACACCUUAUUUCACGAAUGUGUCACUAUCAGCAUGGACAUAUUAACUCUUAUUUGAAGCCCAUGUUACAACGGGACUUCAUCACUGCAUUACCAGAGCAAGGCUUAGAUCACAUAGCAGAAAAUAUCCUUUCCUAUCUUGAUGCCAGAUCGCUCUGUGCAGCAGAGCUGGUGUGUAAGGAAUGGCAGAGAGUCAUCUCUGAGGGAAUGCUAUGGAAAAAAUUGAUUGAGAGAAUGGUGCGCACUGAUCCACUGUGGAAAGGGCUCUCUGAAAGAAGGGGUUGGGAUCAGUACCUGUUUAAAAACAGACCCACAGAUGGCCCACCAAAUUCAUUUUACAGGUCAUUAUACCCAAAGAUAAUACAGGAUAUAGAGACUAUAGAAUCUAACUGGCGAUGUGGACGACACAACUUGCAAAGAAUUCAGUGCCGCUCUGAAAAUAGCAAAGGUGUCUACUGUUUACAGUAUGAUGAUGAAAAGAUCAUCAGUGGCUUACGGGAUAACUCCAUCAAGAUUUGGGAUAAAACAAGUUUGGAAUGUUUGAAAAUAUUAACAGGGCACACUGGCUCUGUUCUCUGCCUGCAGUAUGACGAGAGAGUCAUUGUAACUGGAUCUUCGGACUCUACAGUGAGAGUUUGGGAUGUAAACACAGGCGAAGUUCUGAACACACUGAUUCAUCACAACGAGGCAGUGCUUCAUCUGCGUUUCAGUAAUGGCUUAAUGGUGACAUGUUCAAAGGACAGGUCCAUUGCUGUUUGGGAUAUGGCAUCACCUACUGAUAUCACUUUGCGUCGUGUGUUGGUUGGCCAUCGUGCUGCUGUUAAUGUUGUAGACUUUGAUGACAAGUAUAUUGUCUCUGCAUCAGGUGACAGGACCAUUAAAGUCUGGAGUACAAGCACAUGUGAAUUUGUUCGUACUCUAAAUGGGCACAAGCGUGGCAUUGCAUGCCUUCAGUACAGGGAUCGACUAGUUGUGAGUGGAUCAUCAGACAACACCAUUAGGUUAUGGGAUAUUGAAUGUGGGGCCUGUUUAAGAGUACUAGAAGGCCAUGAAGAACUGGUUCGAUGCAUCAGAUUUGAUAACAAGAGAAUUGUUAGUGGAGCCUAUGAUGGCAAAAUUAAAGUUUGGGACUUGCAAGCUGCUCUUGACCCUCGUGCCCCAGCCAGCACACUAUGCUUGCGUACAUUGGUGGAACAUUCAGGACGUGUGUUUAGACUCCAGUUUGAUGAAUUUCAGAUCAUUAGUAGUUCCCACGAUGACACAAUUCUGAUUUGGGAUUUCUUAAAUGUGCCACCCAGUGCCCAGAAUGAGACACGCUCUCCAUCCAGAACAUACACUUACAUCUCCAGAUAACAGUCUGCACUUUACUAGCCUCAUAAGCAUCAGCAGUAAAACAGCCAUUUCCCUGCAUUUUGUUCAGGACUACAGAAGUAGGCUUCAGGGUACUCAGCAUGUGUUCAACAUUUCAAUAUUAGCCUUUAUUUCUGGAACACUGAACUCUUUGGCUAGGAGGAGCAUCAAAUGAGUACUGCAAUCAUAUGUUAUUAGCUUGGAUACAUUUCUUCUCAUCUUGGAUACAUUUGAAGCAUUGUCUGUGACACAGCUGCAUACUAGACAUUUGAAUUUCUUUUCACAGUUUGUUACAGCCUUUUCUGCUACUUCUUAGUUCCACAGUCUUGAACUACUGGAUAUCUGGCUACUACAUGCCUGAAGAUGUUGAUUCACAGCUAAAGUCAGAAUUGGUGAUAGAUGCUGUGUAGAUGCAAAGCAGCGCAAUUCUGUAUCUCUCUUAAUCUUUCCUGCUCCCUUUCAUUCCCCAGAGGUCUCCUCUAAGGAAUUUACUACAAAUUCACUGACUUCAAGUAGAUGAAAAUCAGAAGCCUGUUCUUCACCACAGUGAAAAAUCCAAAGCUUCAUAUGUAAAUUGUCCAUAUAAACUGAACUAUGAUGGCUUGUUUUCCAGAAAUAAAUCAGAAGACAAGAAAGGACUUAGCCUAAUUUAUAUUGCUUUGCACUUUUGUCUGACUUUAAAGAAAAAUAUUCUGCAGUGAAAUUUGGGUGCCAAACACAUACCCAGAAUGUACAGAGUUUUUGCUUUCAAAGUCACCAUGCUCCUUUAGACUUCAUGACAAAUUCAGAGCCUGUUUUGUUUGAUAGGGGUGUACGUUGGACUAUUAGAAAUAUUUCUGAAUGGAUCAGUAAUAUUUUUGGAUUACAGUUUACUUGUUUCUGCACCAAUACUUUCUUUUAAUUUAAACAUUACCUGUAAAUCAGGCUACAUUAUCUAAACUAGUUGUAUAGCACCGUCUUUUUUUUUCUUUUAACUGUGCCCUGUAAUACAACCAUCCUACUUUUCCUAACGUUUGGUAUAGUAAAAUCUUUCCAUGUGUGCUUGCCUCAUAAUUUCAAAUACUGUAUAAGCAUGUCGAUAUAAUGUACAUAACAGUUUAACCUCCAGGUGCUAGAAGUCAGGAUCUCCUGACACUACACACUAAUACAAAAUGUGUUAGCACUUGGCAGCAGGACAUUCUAACUACUGGCACUGAAGGGAUUAAUAUGAAUUACAUAGAAAUAUUUCUUUGCAAAAGGAAGUUUUCAGUAUUCAUUAGGAUUUUUUUUAAUGGGAACUACAUAUUUUAAAAUGUAAUUUCUAACCUUUUUAAAAAUUAAAGUUUAAUUUAUGUUCUGUAUCUUAUAUUUUGUGCCGCAGUAUUUACAAAACAUUUUUUUUAAUUAGUAGGUUGCCACACAUGCCUACAGAUGUCCUUCCACAGCAUUCGUUUGGCUGCUCAAUGGAAAAAAUGCCAUCAGCCCAAGUUACAUUUAUUUAAAUAUGUAACUUGUAACAACUGAGGCGAGGUAGAAGCCCCUUCAAGGAAGUACUGUGAUGACCAGAUUUAAAGUUGAAUUUAAGAUCACUUACCCAUAGCUGUUACACCAUGACCUUGUUGUGAUGCCAUGGUCAAUGUUUCUCUUCAUUAGCAUGUCCUUAUUAGGAAAUGUCUUAGUAGUUCCUUCUUACGUUGUCGUGGUUCUUCUGUUUCUAAUUUAUACAGUCACAUUUAUUUAAUCAUAUUUCUCUUUGUGAAAGCAAGACCCAGAUAAAUGCCGUCUUUAUAGUAUUGUCCUAUUAAGUUGCCAUGUAGGACUGCAGUUUUCAGUAGUUUUCUUUAAUGCUUAGUUUGAAAAUGCACUAAAACCAAGAGUGUGUAAGAUAUACCUAUUGUCCUGGGGGAGAAAUAUGUUGUCACAGAUAUGUAGCCAGUCAUUUCUCUAUCGUCAUUUGUUGUGUAUUUCGUCUUCUGUUGGCAGCACUUUUUGGUUUCAGAUUUUCCCUUUUUUGGUUGAGGGGAGUUACAGAAUGUCAGUGAUACUUUAGAUGACCAGUGAUUUAAUACUAAACUUCCAGUGCAACAGCUAUGGUUAGAUGUCAUCCACCUUCAUGUCAGGCAAAUUCAGAAUGAAGCACACAUCAGAUGUUACUGAAAUGUCAGAGUGCAACUUAGUUAGUCCUCUAUUCCAUUGAGAGAGAGGUGUUGGGAUCAGUGUUUGUUAGGAAAUUCCCUUUAACUUGUUACUACAAAGAUAUUUAUUUCUUCGAGAUGAUCAAACCUCAUGAAGUACAGAAGAUAUCAUGUUUCGAUAAGCGUCUGUAAGAUCACAUUUUGGUAAGCUUGGCAGUAGUUUGUGAAAGUGGCUUACUUUACCCUUUUCAUCUAAUAGCUUUAAUAUUAAACUGUUUUUAAAAAAAAGACAUCCGUUGCAGCCCUGAAGAAAUAGCUAUUUGUUUGUGAAGAAUGGAGUCCCUUUUUAUGCAUGUGUAAGAUUAAAUUCAUGUUUUUCCUUGGGAGAUAAUGGUAUUUGAACAUGCAGUCUCACCUUCUUUGAUUGUGCUUUGUGUAACAUAGCAGUGGACUUUGUGAUUGGCACCCAAGGAACUUGGCUCCUGGGACUCCUGGCUGCACUCUGGACUUUGUUUUGCUAACCAUAAUUGAGCAAUUGUACAUUACUGCUAUAUUAAUGUUUCAAAGCACUGGGAUAGUCUAAUUCUAACUUGUAAUUAUGUUUGCCAAUGACCCGUUUGGAAAGUUUGUGUAUGAACAGCGAUUGAAACUGUUAAAUUGUACAGAUAUUGUUCACGAUCUAAAGCUUUGUACCGUGGAAUGUGCUUAAUAAAAAAAUUGAACUUCA